GGUUGAGAGUGAGACCAUGGGGGAGAAGUAUGGCACUUAGUUGGUCAUGGACAAAUUGAGUGUUUUUAGUUGUGGAUGAGGGGCAGGAUUCUGGUAAUAUGAGAUUGUUAGUAGCAUUAUGUCAUGAAAAAGAAAAAAGGCAGUGAAACACUUAACAAGGCAAAAUAAACAACAAAAUAAGGUGAACAUAUUGCUGGAAAACAGUUAUUUGUAUAGUUACUUCAUAAUAAUAUAUUAAUUGUAAUGAGCAUUUAUGAAUUCUAACUGUUUUGUCUCUAUAUGCCAUUUUCCAAUUGAUCAAGACAUUAGAGGAUAAUACAUUAUUAGGGUUUAACAAAUCCUUAUGACACUUAACUGUUAUACCACAUAAUAAUCACAUAAUACAUUAUACCUGGAGGGUGUAAAUAGUGUCAUUGAAUUACAUAUUUAUAUUGUGGACUGACAAUUUUAUUUUUUAUACACUCAAUACCAUUUAGAAAGUGUUCUCCCAUUUUUUAUUUGGCUCUAUACGCCCAGUAUUAUACUUUAUUUUAGAUGACAUUUAUUUUAAUUUUACUUGAAGACACGGUAAGUAAUGUCACCUCUAAUAUUGGGAUAUUUGUUUUUGUACAUACUGUAUCUGCUUUAUCAUUUGAAAACACUUAAUGUGCCUAUACACCCCUUUUGAAGUGACUGAACUAUUUAGAACAAAUUCACUUACAAACUCACUACAAUAAGAUUGUUAUUUGACGGCAUCACUAACAGACUUUACAUAAAACUUUGGAGUGUUGAAAGCAGCAAACCUUUUUUUAAUCAGUUAACACAUGGCUCAGACACCAGGACACACUACAACAUCUGGGGUUGUCACGUUCACGGCAGCCUGCCUUGCCAGGGAAUCCAAUGCCCUCUCUUCCUCACACCUGUUUUUGUUAAUUAUUGCCCGCACCUGUUUUCCCUCAUCACGGACCCUAUUUUAGUUCCAGCUUCCCCAAUAGUCCUUGGGGAAGGACUAACAUUGUUUUUUCUUGUCUGGCGAUUUAAUUUUGGGUUUGUCAUGUUUUUGUUCCUUUAUUAAAUGUCCUUUGUUCUCCUUAAGCUUGUGUCCUGCCUCACCAAUCUUCAACAUUACAGGUUUGUCUUCUCAGUCCCAAGGUCUGGGACAGUGGCUCAGAAACUUAGAGUACUUUCUUAAACCAUGACCACAUGUAACACACUUAAAAUGUAUUAAUGUAAUUGAGUGCUUUGUUUAUUGUCAUACUUUCUUAGAUAGUGGAAAGAGAAUGGAAAGUUUUUGGUGAAGUUGCAGUGGGCAAGAUUCGGACCAUACUGCAACACUAUUUAUUCAGGUGUUCCAGUACACAGAACAUGAACACAUCUUUCAGGAGAAGCCAAAGCAGAGCAGGAAGACCAAUACCAGGGAGAUGCCCAUCAGAGACACAGACGCC
This is a long non-coding RNA of Esox lucius (northern pike), 1424 nucleotides long. RefSeq lists it as uncharacterized. The record is from RefSeq and is a predicted model, not a curated record. Lineage: Eukaryota; Metazoa; Chordata; Actinopteri; Esociformes; Esocidae. The transcript has 3 exons.